Molecule: long non-coding RNA, 502 nt
Organism: Tympanuchus pallidicinctus (lesser prairie-chicken)
Lineage: Eukaryota; Metazoa; Chordata; Aves; Galliformes; Phasianidae
Exons: 3
Source: RefSeq, a predicted model, not a curated record
CCUGGUGGACGACAGUUUGGCCAUGAGCCAGCAGUGUGCCCUUGUGGCCAAGAGGGCCAAUGGCAUCCUGGGAUGCAUUAAAAAGAGCAUGGCCAGCAGGUCGAGGGAGGUGAUCCUCCCCCUCUACUCUGCCCUGGUAAGGCCUCAUCUGGAGUACUGCGUCCAGUUCUGGGCUCCCCAGUACAAAAAAGACAGGGAUCUCUUGGAAAGAGUCCAGCGGAGGGCCACGAAGAUGCUGAAGGGCCUGGAGCAUCUCCCUUAUGAAGAAAGGCUGAGUGAACUGGGUCUGUUCAGCCUUGAGAAAAGGAGACUGAGAGGGGACCUGAUCCAGGUCUAUAAAUAUCUAAGGUGUGGGGGGCAGAAUGGCGAGGCCGGACUCUUUUCAGUGGUGAGUGGAGACAGGACAAGGGGAAACGGCCGGAAACUGCAGCAUAGGAAGUUCUGCACAAACAUGCGCAAGAACUUCUUUACAGUGAGGUGACGGAGCACUGGAACAGGCUGC